RNAcentral lists this ribosomal RNA (993 nucleotides) under Mesorhizobium sp. Its description in RNAcentral is "partial 23S ribosomal RNA". It matches the Rfam family "Bacterial large subunit ribosomal RNA", at positions 1950 to 2925 of the family's 2925-position model. The record is from RNAcentral. Lineage: Bacteria; Pseudomonadati; Pseudomonadota; Alphaproteobacteria; Hyphomicrobiales; Phyllobacteriaceae.
CCUAAGGUAGCGAAAUUCCUUGUCGGGUAAGUUCCGACCUGCACGAAUGGCGUAAUGAUGGCCAGGCUGUCUCCACCCGAGACUCAGUGAAAUUGAACUCGCUGUGAAGAUGCAGUGUACCCGCGGCAAGACGGAAAGACCCCGUGAACCUUUACUAUAGCUUGACACUGAACACUGGUCCUUGAUGUGUAGGAUAGGUGGGAGGCUUUGAAGCGUGGACGCCAGUCUGCGUGGAGCCAACCUUGAAAUACCACCCUUUAAUGGCUGGUGUUCUAACGUAGACCCGUAAUCCGGGUUGCGGACAGUGUCUGGUGGGUAGUUUGACUGGGGCGGUCUCCUCCCAAAGAGUAACGGAGGAGCACGAAGGUUAGCUAAUCCUGGUCGGACAUCAGGAGGUUAGUGCAAUGGCAUAAGCUAGCUUGACUGCGAGAGUGACGGCUCGAGCAGGUGCGAAAGCAGGUCAUAGUGAUCCGGUGGUUCUGAAUGGAAGGGCCAUCGCUCAACGGAUAAAAGGUACUCCGGGGAUAACAGGCUGAUACCGCCCAAGAGUUCAUAUCGACGGCGGUGUUUGGCACCUCGAUGUCGGCUCAUCACAUCCUGGGGCUGAAGCCGGUCCCAAGGGUAUGGCUGUUCGCCAUUUAAAGUGGUACGCGAGCUGGGUUUAGAACGUCGUGAGACAGUUCGGUCCCUAUCUGCCGUGGGCGCUGGAGAAUUGAGGGGGGCUGCUCCUAGUACGAGAGGACCGGAGUGGACGCAUCACUGGUGUUCGGGUUGUCAUGCCAAUGGCACUGCCCGGUAGCUAAAUGCGGAAGAGAUAAGUGCUGAAAGCAUCUAAGCACGAAACUUGCCCCGAGAUGAGUUCUCCCUGAGACUUAAAGUCUCCUGAAGGAACGUUGAAGACGACGACGUUGAUAGGUCGGGUGUGUAAGCGCAGCGAUGCGUUGAGCUAACCGAUACUAAUGAACCGUGAGGCUUAACCUUACAACGCCGAAG